ACGCUGGCGGCGUGCCUAAUACAUGCAAGUAGAACGCUGAAGAGAGGAGCUUGCUCUUCUUGGAUGAGUUGCGAACGGGUGAGUAACGCGUAGGUAACCUGCCUUGUAGCGGGGGAUAACUAUUGGAAACGAUAGCUAAUACCGCAUAACAAUGGAUGACACAUGUCAUUUAUUUGAAAGGGGCAAUUGCUCCACUACAAGAUGGACCUGCGUUGUAUUAGCUAGUAGGUGAGGUAACGGCUCACCUAGGCGACGAUACAUAGCCGACCUGAGAGGGUGAUCGGCCACACUGGGACUGAGACACGGCCCAGACUCCUACGGGAGGCAGCAGUAGGGAAUCUUCGGCAAUGGGGGCAACCCUGACCGAGCAACGCCGCGUGAGUGAAGAAGGUUUUCGGAUCGUAAAGCUCUGUUGUAAGUCAAGAACGAGUGUGAGAGUGGAAAGUUCACACUGUGACGGUAGCUUACCAGAAAGGGACGGCUAACUACGUGCCAGCAGCCGCGGUAAUACGUAGGUCCCGAGCGUUGUCCGGAUUUAUUGGGCGUAAAGCGAGCGCAGGCGGUUUGAUAAGUCUGAAGUUAAAGGCUGUGGCUCAACCAUAGUUCGUUUUGGAAACUGUUUAACUUGAGUGCAGAAGGGGAGAGUGGAAUUCCAUGUGUAGCGGUGAAAUGCGUAGAUAUAUGGAGGAACACCGGUGGCGAAAGCGGCUCUCUGGCUUGUAACUGACGCUGAGGCUCGAAAGCGUGGGGAGCGAACAGGAUUAGAUACCCUGGUAGUCCACGCCGUAAACGAUGAGUGCUAGGUGUUGGACCCUUUCCGGGAUUCAGUGCCGCAGCUAACGCAUUAAGCACUCCGCCUGGGGAGUACGACCGCAAGGUUGAAACUCAAAGGAAUUGACGGGGGCCCGCACAAGCGG
RNAcentral lists this ribosomal RNA (917 nucleotides) under uncultured bacterium. RNAcentral describes it as "bacterial SSU rRNA". It matches the Rfam family "Bacterial small subunit ribosomal RNA", at positions 33 to 932 of the family's 1533-position model. The record is from RNAcentral.